Long non-coding RNA from Lolium rigidum, 784 nucleotides. RefSeq lists it as uncharacterized. Lineage: Eukaryota; Viridiplantae; Streptophyta; Magnoliopsida; Poales; Poaceae. The transcript is spliced from 2 exons. The record is from RefSeq and is a predicted model, not a curated record.
GAGACGCUCCUCCUGCGUUUAGCAGCGGCGGUUUAUGGGCGCGUGGUGGUGCCGCCUCAAGGGCACGAGUGGGCUCGAGCAGAUGCGACGGGGGUUCACGGCGCGUGAUGGCGGCGUACGCGACAUCGGCGUGUAGGAAGGAUCAAGAGCAGAACGAUGGAACGAUCUCUUUUGAAAGAUGUAUCCCACAUGUCUUAAUUUGUGCGGCUGGCUAGGAUAUGGGAAUUCAGGAGCACUGAUGCUUGCGCAUUAUGUGAGCUUGAUUUUGUUGUGGUCAAUCCAUCAGGUAAACAAUGUAUUGCUGUCAUAUAAAUUGUCACUUUCAGUUUCACCACAUUACAGGACAAGUGAUAUAAAAAGAACCCUGCAAGUAGCUAGCCUAUUUCUCCGUUAUGAUCCUACAAGUGGCUAUCCUAUUUAUCCAUUACGAUCAGCUCAUAGUGCCACAAUCAGGUUCUAUCUAUUUUUCCCCGUAGGCAACAUGGUUUGCUGGCAAGAGGAAUUGGCUCUAAUAAUUGUUAGUUAUAUCUUUCACUCAUGCUGUUUUCCUUACUUCCCUAAUAUUCAGUUCGUGUAUCACCUUUCGGCUUCUUCAUUUCGAGUUGUUCAGCACACAUUUGUCUGGUUCAACUACAAACUACGUGUUUGAAUCAUUCUACAAAACCUGUGAAGAAAAUGCAUGGAAUUUUAGCUUCCAUAUGGCUUUUCUCUUCCUUUUGUUUGAUUAGUUCAACCUUUUGGUAUAGCUAUGAAUAUGAACAGAAAUGUCUAGCAUUUUGAUCCA